AAGAAAUCGAUUUAUGGACUAGUAUGUCCUUUUCACAUUUGUGGUAUCGAGAGUUUCCAGGUUAGCUCGGGUUGGAGGCCGUCGAGAUAUUAUCACCCUAUCGAGUUAACGUUAUCGGAGUUCAAAUGAAGUUAAAGAGAUACAAUGCUCACAAUUGAUAGAAGAAUUAGAAGAUGAAGGUGAUACAGAAACAACGGGAGUGAUAUGUAUUGAUUGAUUUUUGGAAUUUUUGCACUUCUGUUACAUUUGAAGACAUUUAUGAUGUAUUUGAGACAUUGUUUGUAUUUGGAUAUUAUGUAAGGACUCUAUUUUCUGAAUUUUUUAAACUCGUGUUGAAGUUAUAUUUUAUUUACCAACUAAA
Long non-coding RNA from Gossypium arboreum, 361 nucleotides. RefSeq lists it as uncharacterized. The transcript has 3 exons. The record is from RefSeq and is a predicted model, not a curated record. NCBI's taxonomy places the organism in Eukaryota, Viridiplantae, Streptophyta, Magnoliopsida, Malvales, Malvaceae.